Molecule: long non-coding RNA, 251 nt
Organism: Nematostella vectensis (starlet sea anemone)
Lineage: Eukaryota; Metazoa; Cnidaria; Anthozoa; Actiniaria; Edwardsiidae
Exons: 2
Source: RefSeq, a predicted model, not a curated record
CGAUUAUGAUCAAAUAUCAAAUGCGCUUGAAUUGACUCAUAACAUCAAGCCGGUCAUGUGCGCAGAUGGUACUAAACUUCUUCUUUUCUGCGCAUCAUGUCUUGACAAGCCAAAACAACAUGGCGGAUUUACGAAUUAUAACUGAUGCUCAGGCUAAUGUGGGUGCGCAGUCAUAGGUAUCAAGGGGGGUGAGUGCACCCUGUGCUACCCCCUGUGUACGCGCCUGAUACUGUACAGCAAACACCUGCAUA